Molecule: unclassified non-coding RNA, 266 nt
Filed under: uncultured fungus
Lineage: Eukaryota; Fungi
Description: partial contains 5.8S ribosomal RNA and internal transcribed spacer 2
Rfam family: 5.8S ribosomal RNA (bases 1-133)
About the family: 5.8S ribosomal RNA (5.8S rRNA) is a component of the large subunit of the eukaryotic ribosome. It is transcribed by RNA polymerase I as part of the 45S precursor that also contains 18S and 28S rRNA. Functionally, it is thought that 5.8S rRNA may be involved in ribosome translocation.
Source: RNAcentral
UGGUUCCAGCAUCGAUGAAGAACGCAGCGAAAUGCGAUAAGUAAUGUGAAUUGCAGAAUUCCGUGAAUCAUCGAGUUUUUGAACGCACAUUGCGCUCCUUGGUAUUCCGAGGAGCACGCCUGUUUGAGCGUCAUUUCACUAUCCAUCUAUGGGUGUUGGACGCGGCGCGCGCCCCGUCUCAAUGAGAUUAGCGACCACGGAUGAACACUCGUCGGGUGGUCUCGACCUCUAUAGUUGACCUCAGAUCAGGCGGGGAUACCCGCUGA